GGGCGUAUGGUCUAGAGGUAUGAUACUCGCUUUGGGUACUUGAUUUGAAUCCACUGCGAGGGGUCUUCGGUUCGAAUCCGGAUUCGCCCC
Molecule: transfer RNA, 90 nt
Rfam family: tRNA
About the family: Transfer RNA (tRNA) molecules are approximately 80 nucleotides in length. Their secondary structure includes four short double-helical elements and three loops (D, anti-codon, and T loops).
Source: Rfam